GAUGAACGCUAGCGGCAGGCUUAAUACAUGCAAGUCGAGGGGCAGCAUAAGUAGCAAUACUUGAUGGCGACCGGCAAACGGGUGCGGAACACGUACGCAACCUUCCUUUAAGUGGGGAAUAGCCCGGGGAAACCCGGAUUAAUACCCCGUAAUAUUAUGAUGUGGCAUCACUUUAUAAUUAUAGAUUCAUCGCUUAAAGAUGGGCGUGCGCCUGAUUAGGUAGUUGGCGGGGUAACGGCCCACCAAGCCUGCGAUCAGUAACUGGUGUGAGAGCACGACCAGUCACACGGGCACUGAGACACGGGCCCGACUCCUACGGGA
RNAcentral lists this ribosomal RNA (321 nucleotides) under uncultured bacterium. Its description in RNAcentral is "bacterial SSU rRNA". It matches the Rfam family "Bacterial small subunit ribosomal RNA", at positions 28 to 346 of the family's 1533-position model. The record is from RNAcentral.